ACGGAGGAUGCAAGCGUUAUCCGGAAUCAUUGGGCGUAAAGCGUCCGCAGGUGGUUUCCAAAGUCUGCUGUUAAAGACUGGAGCUCAACUCCGGAACGGCGGUGGAAACUUGGAAACUAGAGUUCGGUAGGGGUAGCAGGAAUUCCCAGUGUAGCGGUGAAAUGCGUAGAUAUUGGGAAGAACAUCGGUGGCGAAGGCGUGCUACUGGACCGCAACUGACACUCAGGGACGAAAGCUAGGGUAGCGAAAGGG
RNAcentral lists this ribosomal RNA (252 nucleotides) under uncultured bacterium. Its description in RNAcentral is "partial 16S ribosomal RNA". It matches the Rfam family "Bacterial small subunit ribosomal RNA", at positions 525 to 776 of the family's 1533-position model. The record is from RNAcentral.